Molecule: non-coding RNA, 106 nt
Organism: Canis lupus familiaris (dog)
Lineage: Eukaryota; Metazoa; Chordata; Mammalia; Carnivora; Canidae
Source: Rfam
AGGAGGAACAACCCCAGUGGUAGCGGCCAGCUCUGGAAACCUGUAUUCAGCCCCCGCAGUAACUCAGGAGCAGUCCCUCUGCAGGUCCUGGAGGCUCUGGGGCAGG